This 492-nucleotide ribosomal RNA is filed under the name uncultured bacterium. RNAcentral describes it as "partial 16S ribosomal RNA". It matches the Rfam family "Bacterial small subunit ribosomal RNA", at positions 29 to 507 of the family's 1533-position model. The record is from RNAcentral.
AGUGAACGCUGGCGGUAGGCCUAACACAUGCAAGUCGAACGGCAGCACAGUAAGAGCUUGCUCUUACGGGUGGCGAGUGGCGGACGGGUGAGGAAUACAUCGGAAUCUACUUUUUCGUGGGGGAUAACGUAGGGAAACUUACGCUAAUACCGCAUACUACCUACGGGUGAAAUCAAGAGAUCUUCGGACCUUGCGCGAUUGAAUGAGCCGAUGUCGGAUUAGCUAGUUGGCAGGGUAAAGGCCCACCAAGGCAACGAUCCGUAGCUGAUCUGAGAGGAUGAUCAGCCACACUGGAACUGAGACACGGUCCAGACUCCUACGGGAGGCAGCAGUGGGGAAUCUUGGACAAUGGGCGCAAGCCUGAUCCAGCCAUACCGCGUGGGUGAAGAAGGUCUUCGGGUUGUAAAGCUCUUUUGUUGGGAAAGAAAAGCUGUAGGUUAAUACCCCGCUGUUCUGACGGUACCCAAAGAAUAAGCAACGGCUAACUUCGUG